RNAcentral lists this ribosomal RNA (440 nucleotides) under uncultured bacterium. RNAcentral's name for it is "partial 16S ribosomal RNA". It matches the Rfam family "Bacterial small subunit ribosomal RNA", at positions 338 to 795 of the family's 1533-position model. The record is from RNAcentral.
CCUACGGGGGGCAGCAGUGGGGGAUAUUGCACAAUGGGGGAAACCCUGAUGCAGCGAAGCCGCGUGUGGGAAGACUGUCCUCUGGAUUGUAAACCACUGUCCCCAGGGACGAAAAUGACGGUACCUGGGGAGGAAGCUCCGGCUAACUACGUGCCAGCAGCCGCGGUACUACGUAGGGAGCGCGCGUUGUCCGGAAUUACUGGGUGUAAGGGGAGCGUAGGCGGUGAUGCAAGUUGGAUGUCAAAACUACCGGCUCAACUGGUAGUCGCACUCAAAACUGCAGCUCUUGAGUGAAGUAGAGGCAGGCGGAAUUCGUAGUGUAGCGGUGAAAUGCGUAGAUAUUAGGAGGAACACCAGUGGCGAAGGCGGCCUGCUGGGCUUUUACUGACGCUGAGGCUCGAAAGUGUGGGGAGCAAACAGGAUUAGAUACCCCGGUAGUC